RNAcentral lists this ribosomal RNA (210 nucleotides) under Plasmodium falciparum (malaria parasite P. falciparum). RNAcentral describes it as "partial 18S ribosomal RNA". Lineage: Eukaryota; Apicomplexa; Aconoidasida; Haemosporida; Plasmodiidae. The record is from RNAcentral.
CUUUUAAACUGGUUUGGGAAAACCAAAUAUAUUAUAUAUUUUGCUUUGUUCAAAAUAAGGUUUUCUAAUAAAUUAUGUUUUUAUCAGAUAUGACAGAAUCUUUUUUAAAAUCUCUUCAAUAUGCUUUUAUUGCUUUUGAGAGGUUUUGUUACUUUGAGUAAAAUUAAGUGUUCAUAACAGACGGGUAGUCAUGAUUGAGUUCAUUGUGUA